GUUCUGCACGAUUGUUUUUAAUUCCUGAAGAAAUUGGUCAUUAUUCUCCUAAUAGAUAACAGUCUUUCUCUGUCUCUCCCAGGAACUGCCAAGAAAGAAGACUGGCCCAACAGAAAACUUGAUGCUCUGUAUCUUCCCCUUCAAAAGCUCCUGUUAAGUACAGGAUAUGGCUCAAGUGCCUAAGAACCGUUGACUCCUUGUGUGCUUAGUGACUUGAUAACUGCAGUGUCUCACCGAGGCUGCCAGAGCAACCCUGCACCCAAACAAAGAGCCAUCAUUUGAAUGUGAACUAGCUCAGUGGGCUGAGGAAAUUGUGUGAGAGCUGAUCAUGUUACCCAGGAAGAUACACGUGAUAAUCCAGCGGAAGAUUUCGAACGCACAAUAAAUAUUCACAACAGGAUUCAUUGUUACACGUCUGACGUCCUGGUCUUUUAUGAUGUCAUUGAUUAUGAUGUCCUCCUUUCGUGUGGAGCAGAUUUACAGAGAGCUGCAAGCUUUGGGUUUGAUCACAUAGGAUUUUGCCUGCUAGAGACUAAAGAUGAGUCCUGAGAAGCCCAAGAAGAAGGGGCCUCUGUAAAGCCCCACAGAGCCUAGACCUUGGGUGGCUGACUGCCAUUUCACUUCAUUAUCAUCAUCUACAGAUUCUUUCACUCUGUUUUGGUGAAAAUAUCUGUGCCACUUCCAUCAUGGUAAAGGUGGCUUCCUACUACCUGAACCUCCUCACAGUUGCCUUCUUUAACCUGGCUCAAGAUCUGUGUAUGGAGGUGCUGAUGCCCAUAUACUGGGCCCUGUGGUGGAGAAUGCUGAUGGUAGGGAACUGUGUCCUGGUCUUUUUUCUCACCGUGUUCCAUCAGAUCCAAAAUGCAUCCUUUAGCUAAUGAGAUACGUGAGAUACCACCCAGGCAACGCUCUACUCAGAGGGGUCCACUGGACUUAUUAUGUCCUUGUCCUCUUCUACCAGAAGAAUGGUUACAAAGUCAUCUUGAGGGCCAUACAGUACGAACUGCUUUUCAUCUUGUCAGUGGCCUGCCUGGACUGGAUGUGGAUGGUGGGGUCUCAGGCAGUGGAAAGAGGCCUCCAGUUCCUGAAGCAAGAGGAGUUAGAGAAUAUGAACUCCAGUUCUGCCACGGUUAACUCUAAAGUCUACACCUCUUUGUUCCAUGACAAUGAAGUCUCUUUGAGGCAACACAUUCCCCACCCCAACCCUUUCACCCGUCAAAACCUCUCUUCUAGCCUCAGCUUUAUGUCAAAGUACCCAAACAACAAAGAGGGAAUCAAGUAUUGCUGCUUUGGGACUUCUUCAGGACAGAGUACCAGAAUCCAAGGCAAAGACAAAGAGGAGAGUGGGCUGUCUAUCUUAACUGAAGACAUAAUUGAUGAAAUGAAGAGAACCUUUGUCACCUACUUUCUGCUCUACAUGUAUAGCACAUUUCACUUUGUUCAGGUCAUAAAAUAAAUUUACCACAUGAGAAAAAACUAACCAUGUGCAAAUCCGUAAAAUUUAAAAAAAACAAUCAAAG
Molecule: long non-coding RNA, 1520 nt
Organism: Phascolarctos cinereus (koala)
Lineage: Eukaryota; Metazoa; Chordata; Mammalia; Diprotodontia; Phascolarctidae
Source: Ensembl